ACGUAGGGGGCAAGCGUUAUCCGGAUUUACUGGGUGUAAAGGGAGCGUAGACGGCUUUGCAAGUCUGAUGUGAAAGGCGGGGGCUCAACCCCUGGACUGCAUUGGAAACUGUGAGGCUUGAGUGCCGGAGAGGUAAGCGGAAUUCCUAGUGUAGCGGUGAAAUGCGUAGAUAUUAGGAGGAACACCAGUGGCGAAGGCGGCUUACUGGACGGCAACUGACGUUGAGGCUCGAAAGCGUGGGGAGCAAACAG
This 251-nucleotide ribosomal RNA is filed under the name uncultured bacterium. RNAcentral's name for it is "partial 16S ribosomal RNA". It matches the Rfam family "Bacterial small subunit ribosomal RNA", at positions 525 to 775 of the family's 1533-position model. The record is from RNAcentral.